GAUCUGGUGGUGUAAUGGUUAACACACCUGCUGGAAGUCCAGACUACAUGUGAAACCGUACAUAGGAGAUCUCUGUUCAAUUCAGGGCUAGGUCA
Mycena rebaudengoi is the source of this 95-nucleotide non-coding RNA. The record is from the annotation of a GenBank genome assembly. Lineage: Eukaryota; Fungi; Basidiomycota; Agaricomycetes; Agaricales; Mycenaceae.